GUGCAGUUAAGGGGCCUAACGCGACUUUGCUCAUGAAAUACAAAAUGGUGUGUUGGUUGGUCCAGACAUCAUGAUGAUACCUAUGAAAGUCGGAAACCACUAAGGAGAGUGCAUAACAACUAACUCACCUGCCGAAUCAUCCAACCCCCCCACUGAAAAUGGAUAGAUGCCCCCGAGUAUUGAACCUAUCUAUACUGUAC
This 200-nucleotide non-coding RNA is filed under the name Trichobilharzia regenti. RNAcentral's name for it is "Eukaryotic large subunit ribosomal RNA". It matches the Rfam family "Eukaryotic large subunit ribosomal RNA", at positions 1174 to 1352 of the family's 3401-position model. Lineage: Eukaryota; Metazoa; Platyhelminthes; Trematoda; Strigeidida; Schistosomatidae. The record is from Rfam by way of RNAcentral.